Non-coding RNA from Pimephales promelas (fathead minnow), 434 nucleotides. NCBI's taxonomy places the organism in Eukaryota, Metazoa, Chordata, Actinopteri, Cypriniformes, Leuciscidae. The record is from RefSeq and is a predicted model, not a curated record.
CAAAGAUGGACCAGACCUUCUCAAUGCGAAGAUGUGAGAUUGUGGAUGCAGAUGGAGCAUUGGCCAGCUCUUUUUACAGAGAUACCAGUGUUUGCAGAGUUUGACAGGAUAGUCACCACAGAUCUGCCGACUGCAGAGUAACUUUUAAGGUGCUGUGGAUCGCAACACACCAUUUUUGUCACAAGUCUUCAAGCAUUGGAGAGAAAUUUGAUGAUCUUAUGCAGCAAAUUAAUAACGGGGUUUGUGAUGUUGAUGAAGCCUGGGCACAAGUAUCUGUUGGGGUGCUGACUGUCAUUGACGAAGAAGAAUCUCUCUCUCUCUCUCUCUCUCUCUCUCUCUCUCUCUACCUUUGCCCACUGCCAUCAUUGUUGAGAGAGGUAUUGUAAUAAUCUGCAGAACCUGCCUCAUGCAAUUUGCAUCUAUUUAGGUCUGUC